GAAACUUGGAUUAAUGCCCCAUGGUACCACGACAUCGCAUGAUGAUGUGGUUAAAGAUUUAUCGGACAGGGAUGGCCAUGCGUACCAUUAGUUAGUUGGUGGGGUAACGGCCCACCAAGGCAGCGAUGGUUAGGGGCCCUGAGAGGGGGAUCCCCCACACUGGUACUGAGACACGGACCAGACUCCUACGGGAGGCAGCAGUGAGGAAUAUUGGACAAUGGGCGGGAGCCUGAUCCAGCCAUGCCGCGUGCAGGAUGACGGCCCUAUGGGUUGUAAACUGCUUUUAUACGGGAAGAAAUGCGCCCACGUGUGGGCGUCUGACGGUACCGUAAGAAUAAGGACCGGCUAACUCCGUGCCAGCAGCCGCGGUAAUACGGAGGGUCCGAGCGUUAUCCGGAAUCAUUGGGUUUAAAGGGUCCGUAGGCGGGCCUGUAAGUCAGGGGUGAAAGUUUGUGGCUCAACCAUAAAAUUGCCUUUGAUACUGCAGGUCUUGAGUCAUGGUGGGGUCGCCGGAACAUGUGGUGUAGCGGUGAAAUGCAUAGAUAUCACAUAGAACACCGAUCGCGAAGGCAGGUGGCCAACCAUGUACUGACGCUGAUGGACGAAAGCGUGGGUAGCGAACGGGAUUAGAUACCCCGGUAGUCCACGCCGUAAACGAUGGAUACUAGCUGUGGGGACUUCGGUCUCCGUGGCCAAGCGAAAGUGAUAAGUAUCCCACCUGGGGAGUACGUUCGCAAGAAUGAAACUCAAAGGAA
RNAcentral lists this ribosomal RNA (755 nucleotides) under Bacteroidetes bacterium KUAC3043 cb 68. RNAcentral describes it as "bacterial SSU rRNA". It matches the Rfam family "Bacterial small subunit ribosomal RNA", at positions 153 to 909 of the family's 1533-position model. The record is from RNAcentral. Lineage: Bacteria; Pseudomonadati; Bacteroidota.